RNAcentral lists this non-coding RNA (30 nucleotides) under Rattus norvegicus (Norway rat). Lineage: Eukaryota; Metazoa; Chordata; Mammalia; Rodentia; Muridae. The record is from RNAcentral.
UCCACAUCUAGUCUCAGGAGGUCCUAACAA